UACGUAGGUGGCAAGCGUUGUCCGGAUUUACUGGGCGUAGAGAGCGCGCAGGCGGUCGUGCAAGUCGCGUGUGAAAGCCCCCGGCUCAACUGGGGAGGGUCACGCGAUACUGUUCGACUCGAAGGCAGGAGAGGGAAGCAGAAUUCCCGGUGUAGUGGUGAAAUGCGUAGAUAUCGGGAGGAAUACCAGUGGCGAAGGCGGCUUCCUGGCCUGUUCUUGACGCUGAGGCGCGAAAGCUAGGGUAGCAAACGGG
Molecule: ribosomal RNA, 253 nt
Filed under: uncultured bacterium
Lineage: Bacteria
Description: partial 16S ribosomal RNA
Rfam family: Bacterial small subunit ribosomal RNA
Source: RNAcentral